RNAcentral lists this ribosomal RNA (263 nucleotides) under uncultured bacterium. Its description in RNAcentral is "partial 16S ribosomal RNA". It matches the Rfam family "Bacterial small subunit ribosomal RNA", at positions 793 to 1055 of the family's 1533-position model. The record is from RNAcentral.
GUCCACGCCCUAAACGAUGUCUACUAGUUGUCGGGACUUAAUUGUCUUGGUAACGCAGCUAACGCGUGAAGUAGACCGCCUGGGGAGUACGGUCGCAAGAUUAAAACUCAAAGGAAUUGACGGGGACCCGCACAAGCGGUGGAUGAUGUGGAUUAAUUCGAUGCAACGCGAAAACCUUACCUACCCUUGACAUGGUUGGAAUCCCGAAGAGAUUUGGGAGUGCUCGCAAGAGAACCAAUACACAGGUGCUGCAUGGCUGUCGU